RNAcentral lists this ribosomal RNA (235 nucleotides) under uncultured bacterium. RNAcentral describes it as "partial 16S ribosomal RNA". It matches the Rfam family "Bacterial small subunit ribosomal RNA", at positions 102 to 334 of the family's 1533-position model. The record is from RNAcentral.
CCGACGGGUGAGUAACACGUAUCCAACCUGCCGUCUACUCUUGGACAGCCUUCUGAAAGGAAGAUUAAUACAAGAUGGCAUCAUGAGUCCGCAUGUUCACAUGAUUAAAGGUAUUCCGGUAGACGAUGGGGAUGCGUUCCAUUAGAUAGUAGGCGGGGUAACGGCCCACCUAGUCUUUGAUGGAUAGGGGUUCUGAGAGGAAGGUCCCCCACAUUGGAACUGAGACACGGUCCAA